This is a non-coding RNA of Pelobates cultripes (western spadefoot toad), 271 nucleotides long. NCBI's taxonomy places the organism in Eukaryota, Metazoa, Chordata, Amphibia, Anura, Pelobatidae. The record is from the annotation of a GenBank genome assembly.
GUUAUACAGUGGGUAUCACUUAGAGCUUCCCCUGAAUUUCCUGUUUAAAAGGUUACUACUAGUUGGCAGACGGAAAGUAAUUCCUUCCACUUCCUGUAUUGUCUCACACACAGACACUGGGGGAGCAGGGAGAGCACUAAGAUUUACACAUUCUAUAACUGUUCCAGCAGCUCUUAUGUUAAGGCUGAAUGGACUAUAGACAUCACUGGCCUUGCUCCCCUAAAUUAUAGUACAAUCUUACCUUUAAUCCAAUCUGCUGCUGUUGGUUCUG